AACAAGCGAGGCAGGAACAUUUGGAGCCCUGGGGAGGGACAGUUAUAUACUCAAACUUUAUUCCUUCAGCUGAACUGUCAGGUCAUGAAGAAUAACACAAAGUUGGACAGACAGGGACAAACACUCAAAUAAAUGAAUCAGUGACAGGCUUCAUUCACAUUCACUAUGAAUACAAUCAACUGUUCAGUUUUACACUACGUCCAGAGACAAAAGGAGAACGAGCAUGAAGCUACUUGCAGGUAGCAUAUCACUUUUCACAAUAGCCAGAAU
Molecule: long non-coding RNA, 270 nt
Organism: Sander lucioperca (pikeperch)
Lineage: Eukaryota; Metazoa; Chordata; Actinopteri; Perciformes; Percidae
Exons: 3
Source: RefSeq, a predicted model, not a curated record